Molecule: ribosomal RNA, 483 nt
Filed under: uncultured bacterium
Lineage: Bacteria
Description: partial 16S ribosomal RNA
Rfam family: Bacterial small subunit ribosomal RNA
Source: RNAcentral
AUUGAACGCUGGCGGCAGGCCUAACACAUGCAAGUCGAGCGGAUGAAGGGAGCUUGCUCCUGGAUUCAGCGGCGGACGGGUGAGUAAUGCCUAGGAAUCUGCCUGGUAGUGGGGGAUAACGUCCGGAAACGGGCGCUAAUACCGCAUACGUCCUGAGGGAGAAAGUGGGGGAUCUUCGGACCUCACGCUAUCAGAUGAGCCUAGGUCGGAUUAGCUAGUUGGUGGGGUAAAGGCCUACCAAGGCGACGAUCCGUAACUGGUCUGAGAGGAUGAUCAGUCACACUGGAACUGAGACACGGUCCAGACUCCUACGGGAGGCGGCAGUGGGGAAUAUUGGACAAUGGGCGAAAGCCUGAUCCAGCCAUGCCGCGUGUGUGAAGAAGGUCUUCGGAUUGUAAAGCACUUUAAGUUGGGAGGAAGGGCAGUAAGUUAAUACCUUGCUGUUUUGACGUUACCAACAGAAUAAGCACCGGCUAACUUCGU